CGCAUCUUGCGCUCCUUGGCAUUCCAUGGAGCAUGCCUGUUUGAGUGUCACGUCAACACCUCACCCUUGCGAUGUCACAAUUGCACGUGGUGGACUUGGACCGUGCCGUGAUGUGGCUCGUCCGAAAUGCAUUAGCUGGUGCCUCUCAGAGCGCUUGGCAAUCGGUGUGAUAAUUAUCUGCGCCGUCACAUGCCAUUAGGCCUCUUUGCUGCCGCGCCGCUUACAGUCGUCCCCAGCGGACAACUUUUAAAGCUCUGGCCUCAAAUCAGGUAGGACUACCCGCUGAACUUAA
RNAcentral lists this unclassified non-coding RNA (292 nucleotides) under fungal sp. RNAcentral describes it as "partial contains 5.8S ribosomal RNA, internal transcribed spacer 2, and large subunit ribosomal RNA". Lineage: Eukaryota; Fungi. The record is from RNAcentral.